This 237-nucleotide unclassified non-coding RNA is filed under the name Glomeraceae sp. RNAcentral's name for it is "partial contains 5.8S ribosomal RNA and internal transcribed spacer 2". The stretch from base 1 to 71 matches the Rfam family "5.8S ribosomal RNA", at positions 84 to 154 of the family's 154-position model. The record is from RNAcentral. Lineage: Eukaryota; Fungi; Glomeromycota; Glomeromycetes; Glomerales; Glomeraceae.
GUGAAUCAUCAAAUUUUUGAACGCAAAUUGCACUUUCUGGUAUUCCGGAAAGUAUGCCUGUUUGAGGGUAAGUUAAAUAAAAAUCGGAGUUGUUGCUGCUAUUCGAGGUGAUGCAUCGGAAUUGAGUUGUCUUUGUACUUUGGUAUAAGUGACUUAAAAUCUGUAUGAUUUUUAAACGUAUUUAUAUUAUUUACGUACGUUUUUAAUAUCAUAUUAUAGGUGCGGUCAUCCUACUGA